GUAUAAGAGACAUGUGAAUCAUCGAAUCUUUGAACGCACAUUGCGCCCCCUGGUACUCCGGGGGGCAUGCCUGUUCGAGCGUCAUUUCAACCCUCAAGCUCUGCUUGGUAUUGGGCUACGUCGGUGCGCCGACGAGCUUCAAAAUUAGUGGCGGUGCCGUCCUGGCUCCACGCGUAGUAUUAUUCUCGCGCGUCCGGAUGCCCAGGUGGUGCUAGCCAGCAACCCCCCUCUAUAUACAAAGGUUGACCUCGGAUCAGGUAGGGAUACCCGCUGAACUUAAGCAUAUCAAUAAGCGGAGGA
This 300-nucleotide unclassified non-coding RNA is filed under the name uncultured Ascomycota. Its description in RNAcentral is "sequence contains 5.8S rRNA gene, ITS2". The stretch from base 1 to 84 matches the Rfam family "5.8S ribosomal RNA", at positions 67 to 154 of the family's 154-position model. Lineage: Eukaryota; Fungi; Ascomycota. The record is from RNAcentral.